This 177-nucleotide ribosomal RNA is filed under the name uncultured Clostridium sp. Its description in RNAcentral is "partial 16S ribosomal RNA". It matches the Rfam family "Bacterial small subunit ribosomal RNA", at positions 331 to 525 of the family's 1533-position model. The record is from RNAcentral. Lineage: Bacteria; Bacillati; Bacillota; Clostridia; Eubacteriales; Clostridiaceae.
GCAGUAUCCUACGGGAGGCAGCAGUGGGGAAUAUUGCACAAUGGGGGAAACCCUGAUGCAGCAACGCCGCGUGAGUGAUGACGGUCUUCGGAUUGUAAAGCUCUGUCUUUAGGGACGAUAAUGACGGUACCUAAGGAGGAAGCCACGGCUAACUACGUGCCAGCAGCCGCGGUAAUA